ACGUAGGAGGCAAGCGUUAUCCGGAGUUACUGGGCGUAAAGCGCGUGUAGGUGGAUCGGUAAGUUACUUAUAAAAGCUCCUGGCUAAACUAGGAGAGGUUGAGUGAUACUGCCAGUCUUGAAUAGAGGAGAGGUUGACGGAAUUCCGCGUGUAGUGGUGAAAUGCGUAGAGAUGCGGAAGAACACCAGUGGCGAAGGCGGUCAACUGGCCUCAUAUUGACACUCAGACGCGAAGGCAUGGGUAGCGAACGGGA
Molecule: ribosomal RNA, 253 nt
Filed under: uncultured prokaryote
Description: partial 16S ribosomal RNA
Rfam family: Bacterial small subunit ribosomal RNA
Source: RNAcentral